AAUGGUGCUGCUGUGUGUAGAAAUUUGCCUCUGCUUCUUCUAUGAUGGAUUACUCCCUGUAUGAUUGUCGAACUUUGGUGCAAAA
Molecule: long non-coding RNA, 85 nt
Organism: Myripristis murdjan (pinecone soldierfish)
Lineage: Eukaryota; Metazoa; Chordata; Actinopteri; Holocentriformes; Holocentridae
Exons: 3
Source: RefSeq, a predicted model, not a curated record